This 253-nucleotide ribosomal RNA is filed under the name uncultured bacterium. RNAcentral describes it as "partial 16S ribosomal RNA". It matches the Rfam family "Bacterial small subunit ribosomal RNA", at positions 524 to 776 of the family's 1533-position model. The record is from RNAcentral.
UACGUAGGCAGCGAGCGUUGUUCGGAGUUACUGGGCGUAAAGGGUGUGUAGGCGGUUCUUUAAGUUUGGUGUGAAAUCUCCCGGCUCAACCGGGAGGGUGCGCCGAAAACUGGGGGACUAGAGUGCGGGAUGGGAGAGUAGAAUUCCUGGUGUAGCGGUGAAAUGCGCAGAUAUCGGGAAGAACACCCGUGGCGAAGGCGGCUCUCUGGGACGGUACUGACGCUGAGACGCGAAAGCGUGGGGAGCGAACAGG